Molecule: transfer RNA, 72 nt
Filed under: Ovis aries (sheep)
Lineage: Eukaryota; Metazoa; Chordata; Mammalia; Artiodactyla; Bovidae
Rfam family: tRNA
About the family: Transfer RNA (tRNA) molecules are approximately 80 nucleotides in length.
Source: Rfam by way of RNAcentral
UCCCAGAUAGCUCAGUUGGUAAAGAAUCCGCCUGCAAUGCAGGAGACCUGGGUUUGAUCCCUGGGUUGGGAA